This 253-nucleotide ribosomal RNA is filed under the name uncultured bacterium. RNAcentral's name for it is "partial 16S ribosomal RNA". It matches the Rfam family "Bacterial small subunit ribosomal RNA", at positions 524 to 776 of the family's 1533-position model. The record is from RNAcentral.
UACGGAGGGUGCAAGCGUUAAUCGGAAUUACUGGGCGUAAAGCGUGCGCAGGCGGUUUGUUAAGUCUGCUGUGAAAUCCCCGAGCUCAACCUGGGAAUUGCAGUGGAUACUGGCAGGCUGGAGUAUGGUAGAGGAAGGUGGAAUUCCCGGUGUAGCAGUGAAAUGCGUAGAGAUCGGGAGGAACACCAGUGGCGAAGGCGGCCUUCUGGACCAAUACUGACGCUCAUGCACGAAAGCGUGGGGAGCAAACAGG